RNAcentral lists this ribosomal RNA (253 nucleotides) under uncultured bacterium. RNAcentral describes it as "partial 16S ribosomal RNA". It matches the Rfam family "Bacterial small subunit ribosomal RNA", at positions 524 to 776 of the family's 1533-position model. The record is from RNAcentral.
UACGUAGGGGGCAAGCGUUGUCCUGAUUGAUUGGGCGUAAAGAGCGUGUAGGCGGCCAGAUAGGUCCGUUGUGAAAACUCGAGGCUCAACCUCGAGACGCCGAUGGAAACCAUUUGGCUAGAGUCCGGAAGAGGAGAGUGGAAUUCCUGGUGUAGCGGUGAAAUGCGCAGAUAUCAGGAGGAACACCGAUGGCGAAGGCAGGUCUCUGGGCAUUAACUGACGCUGAGGAGCGAAAGCAUGGGGAGCGAACAGG